GACGAACGCUGGCGGCGUGCCUAAUACAUGCAAGUCGAACGCUUCUCUCCUCCCGAGUGCUUGCCCUCAAUUGGAAAGAGGAGUGGCGGACGGGUGAGUAACACGUGGGUAACCUACCCAUCAGAGGGGGAUAACACUUGGAAACAGGUGCUAAUACCGCAUAACAGUUUAUGCCGCAUGGCAUAAGAGUGAAGGGCGCUUUCGGGUGUCGCUGAUGGAUGGACCCGCGGUGCAUUAGCUAGUUGGUGAGGUAACGGCUCACCAAGGCCACGAUGCAUAGCCGACCUGAGAGGGUGAUCGGCCACACUGGGACUGAGACACGGCCCAGACUCCUACGGGAGGCAGCAGUAGGGAAUCUUCGGCAAUGGACGAAAGUCUGACCGAGCAACGCCGCGUGAGUGAAGAAGGUUUUCGGAUCGUAAAACUCUGUUGUUAGAGAAGAACAAGGACGUUAGUAACUGAACGUCCCCUGACGGUAUCUAACCAGAAAGCCACGGCUAACUACGUG
RNAcentral lists this ribosomal RNA (508 nucleotides) under uncultured bacterium. RNAcentral describes it as "partial 16S ribosomal RNA". It matches the Rfam family "Bacterial small subunit ribosomal RNA", at positions 28 to 507 of the family's 1533-position model. The record is from RNAcentral.